Molecule: non-coding RNA, 401 nt
Organism: Pelobates cultripes (western spadefoot toad)
Lineage: Eukaryota; Metazoa; Chordata; Amphibia; Anura; Pelobatidae
Source: the annotation of a GenBank genome assembly
GUGUGUGUAUAGAUGUAGGUAUUAGGCAGUGUGUGUUUAUAGAUGUAGGUAUUAAGCAGUAUGUGUGUAUGGAUGUAGGUAUUAGGCAGUAUGUGUGUAUGGAUGUAGGUAUUAAGCAGUAUGUGUGUAUGGAUGUAGGUAUUAAGCAGUAUGUGUGUAUGUAUGUAGGUAUUAGGCAGUGUGUGUAUGGAUGUAGGUAUUAAGCAGUGUGUGUGUAUGGAUGUAGGUAUUAAGCAGUGUGUGUGUAUAGAUGUAGGUAUUAAGCAGUAUGUGUGUAUGUAUGUAGGUAUUAGGCAGUAUGUCUGUUAGUAUGUAGGUAUUAAGCAGUGUGUGUGUAUGGAUGUAGGUAUUAAGCAGUAUGUGUGUAUGGAUGUAGGUAUUAAGCAGUGUGUGUGUGUAUA